Molecule: ribosomal RNA, 752 nt
Filed under: uncultured Methanomassiliicoccus sp.
Lineage: Archaea; Methanobacteriati; Thermoplasmatota; Thermoplasmata; Methanomassiliicoccales; Methanomassiliicoccaceae
Description: bacterial SSU rRNA
Rfam family: Archaeal small subunit ribosomal RNA
Source: RNAcentral
GGAUAACGUGCCCUUAAGAGGAGGAUAAUCUCGGGAAAUUGAGGAUAAUACUCCAUAGAUCAUGGGACCUGAAAUGGCCCAUGGUUCAAAGUUCCGGCGCUUAAGGAUCGGUCUGCGGCCUAUCAGGUAGUAGUGGGUGUAACGUACCUACUAGCCUAUGACGGGUAUGGGCCUUGAGAGAGGGAGCCCAGAGUUGGAUUCUGAGACACGAAUCCAGGCCCUACGGGGCGCAGCAGUCGCGAAAACUUCACAAUGGGGGCAACCCCGAUGAGGGAAUUCCUAGUGCUAGCACAUUUGUGUUAGCUUUUCUUUGGCUUAGAAAACUAGAGGAAUAAGGGCUGGGUAAGACGGGUGCCAGCCGCCGCGGUAAUACCUGCAGCCCAAGUGGUGGUCGAUUUUAUUGAGUCUAAAACGUUCGUAGCCGGUUCGGUAAAUCUUUGGGUAAAUCGGGGGGCUUAACCUUCCGACUUCCGAGGAGACUGCCGAACUUGGGACCGGGAGAGGCUAGAGGUACUUCUGGGGUAGGGGUAAAAUCCUGUAAUCCUAGAAGGACCACCGGUGGCGAAGGCGUCUAGCUAGAACGGAUCCGACGGUGAGGGACGAAGCCCUGGGUCGCAAACGGGAUUAGAUACCCCGGUAGCCCAGGGUGUAAACGCUGCAGACUUGGUGUUGGAGGCCCUUUGGGGGCAUUCAGUGCCGGAGAGAAGUUGUUAAGUCUGCUACUUGGGGAGUACGUCCGCAAGGAUGAAACU